AACGCACAUUGCGCCCGGUAGUAAUCUGCCGGGCAUGCCUGUCCGAGCGUCAUUUCAGCCCUCGACCCGCUAUUCGCGUAGCUGGAUCGGUGUUGGGGCACUACGGUGGAAUACCCGUAGGCUCCGAAAUGAAGUGGCGGUCCCGCCGCGGCGCCCCCAUGCGUAGUAACAUCUCGUCUCGCAUCGGGUCCCGGCGGAGGCCUGCCGUCAAGCCUAUUUCUAAUUACAGAUGGUUUGACCUCGGAUCAGGUAGGGUUACCCGCUGAACUUAA
Molecule: unclassified non-coding RNA, 272 nt
Filed under: uncultured Microascales
Lineage: Eukaryota; Fungi; Ascomycota; Sordariomycetes; Microascales
Description: sequence contains ITS2
Source: RNAcentral